This 540-nucleotide long non-coding RNA is filed under the name Phoenix dactylifera (date palm). Its description in RNAcentral is "long non-coding RNA (PDAC_LNC022186)". The record is from RNAcentral. Lineage: Eukaryota; Viridiplantae; Streptophyta; Magnoliopsida; Arecales; Arecaceae.
CCCCCGAGCCCUAGCGUAGCCGCAGCCGAGGCUGCGGUGCCCUGCAGGCGGCUCGGCCCGAGUGGUCAUCGGGCCUGGUCUUGGGCCGCGGCCAUUCUCAGGCCGGUCCGGGGUCCAUGGGUCUGGCCCGUGACCCUUCUCCCUUCUGCCGAUCUCCUCCUCUCUGUUUCGUUGUUGAGACAGAGGGGAAAUCCUCCACAGAGGGUUUCUCCAGACUUUAAAAUUUUAUUAACAGGGGGUCCAUACCUGGUUUUAGCCGGGUGUAGUCGGGCAGUGCUUCCUCCCUGGUAGUCUCCCCUUCUCAGAGCUUCAGGGCUCCUUGGCCUUAGGCUCCAGGGCUUCGGCUCUCUCUCUCGUUCAAAGUUUAGGGGGUCUGUGACUUGGGGUUGCCGGCAGGGGCUUAAAUAAUUUGUUUAGGGGAUGAGACCCCCCUCUGAGAGGUCCCAUCCUCUCCUUUCCUCCCUGCUCCGGGACUGUCAGCCGCCCCCCCUGUCUCAGGCGCGCCGGAAUUCGGCUGCCAGCAGGGGGUGAGGUCACCUU